This 2017-nucleotide long non-coding RNA is filed under the name Lactuca sativa (garden lettuce). RNAcentral's name for it is "long non-coding RNA (LSAT_LNC007483)". The record is from RNAcentral. Lineage: Eukaryota; Viridiplantae; Streptophyta; Magnoliopsida; Asterales; Asteraceae.
UAUUAAAGUUGGGCACCCCUGGAACAUUAAACUUCCUAAGGGCUUGGCAAAAAUGGUCCUUUAACAAUAUGUUUUGAUGCAGUUUGGGAUUGUUUUUCUAUAAGGGUAUUUUAUGUAAUUAUUUGCUUUCAUUGUACACGUGUUGAUGAUCGUCGCUGUUGUGCGACUGUAUUCCAUGUUUAUCUUGCUGAUGGUUAUCAUACUUCCCGAUCCUUCUGCCACCGCUCACUUUAUAUUCCUAGGUGCUCCACCGUCUUCCUUUUAUCUCUGCUCCAAAUUCCAUCACCAUCACCUUCCUACACCGUCAUCAUGACUGGAAUGUUAUGUUCUGCUCCCACUUCGAUGUUCCCCACCGCUCCCCAUUUUAUCAUCCACAUCCAUUAUUCGCUGCUUUAUCACUUCCCGAUCUACCGCCGUACAUACUGUCCCUUCUUUUGCUUCCCCACUCAUCGACAUUUUUUUCUCCCUUCAACAUCAGAUGAACCCUAUUCGGUUCACCGUGAGCAAUUGGUAUUUGAUUUCUCCCGCUAAUCGAAUCAAUUGAUGCCUCAAAGAGCUACAGACAGAAUGAGGUCGAAAGUGGUGACGGCAGCAGAUGUGUCAUCGUUGUUGCCGGCCAGUGACGGCAUCGCGGGCAGUCAGGAAUGGCCAUCGUCUGCCUCUCCAUCUCCACUCUCAACUGAAUUGGCAUCGAUUCCAAGUAUGUCGGUGACGCUACACCGUUCGAACACGAUUGGUGACGGAUCGACACCACCUUAGUACUUGUCUUUCAAGAAAACCCUCUUUUUCUAAUGAAGAUCGUUUCCACCUUUGCUUCAUCCUCGGUGUCUUCUCAGUUGCGAUUGAAUCAGUGUAUGUUUGGAUUUUUAAGUUAUGCAUCUAAUUAUCGUCUUUUCGGUUUUGAUUUGGAUUGUGAAUCCAUUAUUGUGUUUGCUUGAUUUUCAUUUUAUGCUAUUAAAUCGCAGAUGCGCUGUAUAGUUGCUGAGACUGAUUGAUAUUCCUCAGAGGGUAUGUUUCUAUGAUACAUCUUACAUCUGGUACCUUCCUUUCUCUCCUACAAAUAGUUUUUCAAUUGAAUUGCACUUUUUAUAUCCAUUUGUUAUGUAUAGGAAUCCAUGGUUUCUACUUUCUUUUAUAUGUUUAUAAGCUCCUGUAAUUGAUUGGUUAUGUUCUUACAUCGUUUACAAUUUUUCUUGUCUGGUUGUAUAAGGUUGCGUUUUCAGUCAAAUUCAUGUCAGUGUCGUUCUUUCAACUUUAAUUGGUGGUUCAAGUCAUAAUUUUGGUUUUCAUGGAUGCAGGAUGGUAGGUAAGCACAAUCAUCAAAUGAUCAGAUUACAUACACAUAAACUUCAAAUAUUUUCCACUUUUCUCCGUCAUCCUUAAUUGAAUUGGUCAAUUAAUUUUUAAUGCUAUUGCAAGAACCCACUUUUAGUUCUUGAUUGUUUGCAUCAUAUAGGUUUGAAUGUUGUAUGCACAAGAACAGUUACCUAAAUUACCUAUAUAGGUUUGUUAGUUGAUUCGUUUUGUUUAUUUUUGCUUUACUAAGGGAUCUUGGAAUUGCCUAUAUAUUUUCUCACUCUGGGGUAGGUAUGUUUUCAAUCCUUGUGUCACACAUAGUGGAUGCAAGUUCAUGUUUCUAAACUUACUGGAACAACAGAGUAAAAAUUGAAAACAUUUUUUUAUAGUACAACUCUAAUUACAGGUUCCAUAUAAUAUCCCUCAUUUAUUAUUUUACCUUCAAAAUGUUUCAACUAUAAUUAAUUUUGAUGGUAUUUGUGUACAAAGUAACAUCUUUAUAACAAUUUGAUAUUUCAGGGUAUUACAGAUAGAAAUGGGUUGAAUACAUGCGGUGUUUGUAUUUAUAAAGAAAGUAUUAGUCAACUGUUUGUUUUUAUUGAUUAUCUUAGUGCUAUGGUUGAUUUUUUGAUUUGUUGAGGAUUAUGUUGCUUGCUUUCAUUAAGUUUUCCUUUUUCAGUUUAUAGCUAACAUGUUUUCUAGUAAUAUUUCUAAAAUGAAC